This 2550-nucleotide ribosomal RNA is filed under the name Escherichia coli. RNAcentral's name for it is "bacterial LSU rRNA". It matches the Rfam family "Bacterial large subunit ribosomal RNA", at positions 397 to 2925 of the family's 2925-position model. The record is from RNAcentral. Lineage: Bacteria; Pseudomonadati; Pseudomonadota; Gammaproteobacteria; Enterobacterales; Enterobacteriaceae.
CUGUGAGCUCGAUGAGUAGGGCGGGACACGUGGUAUCCUGUCUGAAUAUGGGGGGACCAUCCUCCAAGGCUAAAUACUCCUGACUGACCGAUAGUGAACCAGUACCGUGAGGGAAAGGCGAAAAGAACCCCGGCGAGGGGAGUGAAAAAGAACCUGAAACCGUGUACGUACAAGCAGUGGGAGCCUCUUUUAUGGGGUGACUGCGUACCUUUUGUAUAAUGGGUCAGCGACUUAUAUUCUGUAGCAAGGUUAACCGAAUAGGGGAGCCGAAGGGAAACCGAGUCUUAACUGGGCGUUAAGUUGCAGGGUAUAGACCCGAAACCCGGUGAUCUAGCCAUGGGCAGGUUGAAGGUUGGGUAACACUAACUGGAGGACCGAACCGACUAAUGUUGAAAAAUUAGCGGAUGACUUGUGGCUGGGGGUGAAAGGCCAAUCAAACCGGGAGAUAGCUGGUUCUCCCCGAAAGCUAUUUAGGUAGCGCCUCGUGAAUUCAUCUCCGGGGGUAGAGCACUGUUUCGGCAAGGGGGUCAUCCCGACUUACCAACCCGAUGCAAACUGCGAAUACCGGAGAAUGUUAUCACGGGAGACACACGGCGGGUGCUAACGUCCGUCGUGAAGAGGGAAACAACCCAGACCGCCAGCUAAGGUCCCAAAGUCAUGGUUAAGUGGGAAACGAUGUGGGAAGGCCCAGACAGCCAGGAUGUUGGCUUAGAAGCAGCCAUCAUUUAAAGAAAGCGUAAUAGCUCACUGGUCGAGUCGGCCUGCGCGGAAGAUGUAACGGGGCUAAACCAUGCACCGAAGCUGCGGCAGCGACGCUUAUGCGUUGUUGGGUAGGGGAGCGUUCUGUAAGCCUGUGAAGGUGUGCUGUGAGGCAUGCUGGAGGUAUCAGAAGUGCGAAUGCUGACAUAAGUAACGAUAAAGCGGGUGAAAAGCCCGCUCGCCGGAAGACCAAGGGUUCCUGUCCAACGUUAAUCGGGGCAGGGUGAGUCGACCCCUAAGGCGAGGCCGAAAGGCGUAGUCGAUGGGAAACAGGUUAAUAUUCCUGUACUUGGUGUUACUGCGAAGGGGGGACGGAGAAGGCUAUGUUGGCCGGGCGACGGUUGUCCCGGUUUAAGCGUGUAGGCUGGUUUUCCAGGCAAAUCCGGAAAAUCAAGGCUGAGGCGUGAUGACGAGGCACUACGGUGCUGAAGCAACAAAUGCCCUGCUUCCAGGAAAAGCCUCUAAGCAUCAGGUAACAUCAAAUCGUACCCCAAACCGACACAGGUGGUCAGGUAGAGAAUACCAAGGCGCUUGAGAGAACUCGGGUGAAGGAACUAGGCAAAAUGGUGCCGUAACUUCGGGAGAAGGCACGCUGAUAUGUAGGUGAAGCGACUUGCUCGUGGAGCUGAAAUCAGUCGAAGAUACCAGCUGGCUGCAACUGUUUAUUAAAAACACAGCACUGUGCAAACACGAAAGUGGACGUAUACGGUGUGACGCCUGCCCGGUGCCGGAAGGUUAAUUGAUGGGGUUAGCGGUAACGCGAAGCUCUUGAUCGAAGCCCCGGUAAACGGCGGCCGUAACUAUAACGGUCCUAAGGUAGCGAAAUUCCUUGUCGGGUAAGUUCCGACCUGCACGAAUGGCGUAAUGAUGGCCAGGCUGUCUCCACCCGAGACUCAGUGAAAUUGAACUCGCUGUGAAGAUGCAGUGUACCCGCGGCAAGACGGAAAGACCCCGUGAACCUUUACUAUAGCUUGACACUGAACAUUGAGCCUUGAUGUGUAGGAUAGGUGGGAGGCUUUGAAGUGUGGACGCCAGUCUGCAUGGAGCCGGCCUUGAAAUACCACCCUUUAAUGUUUGAUGUUCUAACGUUGGCCCCUGAUCGGGGUUGCGGACAGUGUCUGGUGGGUAGUUUGACUGGGGCGGUCUCCUCCUAAAGAGUAACGGAGGAGCACGAAGGUUGGCUAAUCCUGGUCGGACAUCAGGAGGUUAGUGCAAUGGCAUAAGCCAGCUUGACUGCGAGCGUGACGGCGCGAGCAGGUGCGAAAGCAGGUCAUAGUGAUCCGGUGGUUCUGAAUGGAAGGGCCAUCGCUCAACGGAUAAAAGGUACUCCGGGGAUAACAGGCUGAUACCGCCCAAGAGUUCAUAUCGACGGCGGUGUUUGGCACCUCGAUGUCGGCUCAUCACAUCCUGGGGCUGAAGUAGGUCCCAAGGGUAUGGCUGUUCGCCAUUUAAAGUGGUACGCGAGCUGGGUUUAGAACGUCGUGAGACAGUUCGGUCCCUAUCUGCCGUGGGCGCUGGAGAACUGAGGGGGGCUGCUCCUAGUACGAGAGGACCGGAGUGGACGCAUCACUGGUGUUCGGGUUGUCAUGCCAAUGGCACUGCCCGGUAGCUAAAUGCGGAAGAGAUAAGUGCUGAAAGCAUCUAAGCACGAAACUUGCCCCGAGAUGAGUUCUCCCUGAGACUUUAAGUCUCCUGAAGGAACGUUGAAGACGACGACGUUGAUAGGCCGGGUGUGUAAGCGCAGCGAUGCGUUGAGCUAACCGGUACUAAUGAACCGUGAGGCUUAACCUU